Molecule: small nucleolar RNA, 99 nt
Filed under: Erythranthe guttata (spotted monkey flower)
Lineage: Eukaryota; Viridiplantae; Streptophyta; Magnoliopsida; Lamiales; Phrymaceae
Description: Mimulus guttatus (spotted monkey flower) Small nucleolar RNA snoR113
Rfam family: Small nucleolar RNA snoR113
Source: Rfam by way of RNAcentral
UGGCGAUGAUGAAAAAAAGGCCGGACUUACGGCUGCUACUAAACAGUUUGGUAGUAGAUUGAUGAUAUUUUUCCAAAAGGUGUUUUACUUUGGAGCCUA